GCGGGUGUGGCUCAACGUUUGAGAAGAAGUCUUUCAAGCUACGGCAAGGGUUCGUUUCCCUUCACCCGCUCCA
RNAcentral lists this transfer RNA (73 nucleotides) under Burkholderia cepacia. RNAcentral describes it as "tRNA-Glu". It matches the Rfam family "tRNA". Rfam says of the family: Transfer RNA (tRNA) molecules are approximately 80 nucleotides in length. Their secondary structure includes four short double-helical elements and three loops (D, anti-codon, and T loops). Lineage: Bacteria; Pseudomonadati; Pseudomonadota; Betaproteobacteria; Burkholderiales; Burkholderiaceae. The record is from RNAcentral.